CGCUGGCGGCGUGCCUAACACAUGCAAGUCGAGCGAGGACAAGGGCUUCGGUCUGUCGAGCGGCGGACGGGUGAGUAACGCGUGAACAAUCUGUCCCUGACAGGGGAAUAACACUUGGAAACAGGUGCUAAUACCGCAUAAGACCACAGGGUCGCAUGAUCCAGGGGUAAAAGGAGAGAUCCGGUGAGGGGUGAGUUCGCGUCCCAUUAGAUAGUUGGUGAGGUAACGGCCCCACCAAGUCAACGAUGGGUAGCCGACCUGAGAGGGUGAUCGGCCACACUGGGACUGAGACACGGCCCAGACUCCUACGGGAGGCAGCAGUGGGGAAUAUUGGGCAAUGGGCGGGAAAAGCCUGACCCAGCAACGCCGCGUGAAGGAAGAAGGUUUUCGGAUUGUAAACUUCUGUCCUAUGGGAAGAAGUAAGUGACGGUACCAUAGGAGGAAGCCCCGGCUAACUACGUGCCAGCCGCAGC
RNAcentral lists this ribosomal RNA (473 nucleotides) under uncultured bacterium. Its description in RNAcentral is "bacterial SSU rRNA". It matches the Rfam family "Bacterial small subunit ribosomal RNA", at positions 34 to 518 of the family's 1533-position model. The record is from RNAcentral.